This 253-nucleotide ribosomal RNA is filed under the name uncultured bacterium. RNAcentral's name for it is "partial 16S ribosomal RNA". It matches the Rfam family "Bacterial small subunit ribosomal RNA", at positions 524 to 776 of the family's 1533-position model. The record is from RNAcentral.
UACGUAGGUGGCAAGCGUUGUCCGGAUUUACUGGGCGUAAAGGGCGUGCAGGCGGUUUGUUAAGUGCAGGGUGAAAGCCCCCGGCUCAACUGGGGAGGGUCACGCGAUACUGAUCGACUCGAAGGCAGGAGAGGGUAGUGGAAUUCCCGGUGUAGUGGUGAAAUGCGUAGAUAUCGGGAGGAACACCAGAGGCGAAGGCGGCCUACUGGGCUGCACCUGACGCUGAGCCGCGAAAGCCAGGGGAGCGAACGGG